Molecule: long non-coding RNA, 274 nt
Filed under: Ananas comosus (pineapple)
Lineage: Eukaryota; Viridiplantae; Streptophyta; Magnoliopsida; Poales; Bromeliaceae
Description: long non-coding RNA (ACOM_LNC005864)
Source: RNAcentral
AGUGAAUGAAUGCAUGGGCAUUUAGGGCUUAUUUGGUUCAUCCAUUUUGAGUAUGGAAUGUGAAUCGAUUUAAUCAAAUCAGGUUAAUUUUGUUUGGUUCGCAUGAAUCGGUUUGAAAUUUCUAUUCCGAACUGGAAUGGGAAUGACCCAUUAGCCUUCAACUUGAUUUCGGUAUUCUAGUCCAGAUUGAGAUUUCAUUCUGAAAGCCCACUAAGUUCUCGAAGCCCAUGUGACCAUCUCACUCUCCUUCUCUUCACUCCUUUCUCAUAAAAAA